This 72-nucleotide transfer RNA is filed under the name Phrynosoma platyrhinos (Desert horned lizard). RNAcentral's name for it is "tRNA-OTHER". Lineage: Eukaryota; Metazoa; Chordata; Lepidosauria; Squamata; Phrynosomatidae. The record is from RNAcentral.
AGUUCUGUGGUGUAGUGGUUUGAGUGCUGGACUACGAUUCUGGAGACCAGGGUUCGAUUCCCGCUUUGGCUA